Non-coding RNA from Doryrhamphus excisus (bluestripe pipefish), 1633 nucleotides. Lineage: Eukaryota; Metazoa; Chordata; Actinopteri; Syngnathiformes; Syngnathidae. The record is from RefSeq and is a predicted model, not a curated record.
CUAUUUUUCCAAUGUACCUGGACGCGCAGGCAACGCUGCAAAUGACGUCGUAUAGCGGCCUGUCACGAUUCGGCGAAUCGGAGCGCCACGAUGCGGCCAUCCGAUAUAUGCGAGGGAAAUUUAAUGGAAAUGCAUUGGAACGGGACUGGAGAUUUUGUCCGAAAUAGGCGAAAUCCGUUAUAAAAAAUCCGAUAUAUGCAAUGAAUUUUUAUUGGAAAUGCAUUACAGAAAAAUUGGUUCUUUUUUAUCUGUCCGUUGUGAGCGAAUUUCCGAUAUAACCCAGUCCGAUAUAUCCGAGGUUGUAGUAUCCAAAAUACAAAAAUACAAACAACCAAGAACAGAGGCUAAUUUGCAUGUGAUUUUCCACUCACAGCGACAGGUCUUCACCGCUGCGCCUUGUGGGGAUUAGUUAGAGCACCAAUAUAAACGUAAUCUUCAAGAUGUAACACGAAAUAAACAUUCAAACUUACUUAUUUGCUGAUAUGAUGCACAUAGAACAAUGAACAACUUGAAGCGUUGUCUUCUUCCUGCUCCGGUCUCCUCGCGCCGUGAGGCGUUCAGGUACACUCGUAUUUGUCAGAGUUAGGCGCUAAUUGUUUUUAUUUUUUUCUUGACGUAUGUACUUUUGGAACCUAGGUAGGAAACUGUUUCAAAUGCAUAAUGAAUGUUUCAAAUGAUGAAUGAAAGAGACGAAUUAAUAUUUAAGGUUACUUUUACAUUAAUUGAAGACUCUUUGUGAGGCUGUUCUCAAAGACACCACCGGCCGCGAGACACCACAUGAACAUCACCUCAGUAACCCAAAAUGGCUGCCAGCAUUUUUAUAAAAAAGGUGAAAACACUAUUGAACGAAAAAAAAACCAGGAAGAUGGUGUCAGUGUGGUGUCUUACUACCACAUCAUGCCUGUGGGAACAGUCACAUCUUCACAGUCGGGAAAAAGACUGUGGUAAUGAGCAUGUUGACCUGCUCCUCCAACCGUCCUGCUUCUUGGAUCCGGGUCUCUUCGGUGGAACUCAGCAGGUGCGUCUUUCUCAAGUGUAGCAACAAGCCCUCCAGAAAGGAGGUACUAGUGAAGCGUCGCAAAUGGUCUUGGCCUCUCACCUGGUGGUUGUGUCAUGGAGGAUGGGAAGCAGGAAGUGGACUGAAGAUCCACAUAGCAAUCACCCUGCCAAGUUAUGGCUUUGCUUCUGUCCAGGAUGGAAUCAUAAUGAGCGUUCCUCUCCAUGAUAAGCGUUUCUGCAAGAGGUCACAAAGAAGUGCUCAAACACCUGAGCAUCACGUAUCCAUGCUUUACAUGACGUAUGCACUACCAAUUUUUAUUUACCAAUUUUUUGUUUUAUUAUGCUAUUUAGUUCAUAUUUUUUAAAUUAUUUUCUUAAAAUUAUUUUAUCAUCAGUAUUGUUACAAUUUUCGAUACAUUUUUAAAUAUAGUCUCUUUCCAGAGUGUAAAAACCAAGUUAAACACUGUUAAAUAAAACUAAAAUAAAGUAAAACUACAACUAACUCAGCUGACAGACAUGUGAUGUGUAUUGCCACUUAUAAAAUAAGUUUUUGUUCUGAUUUAUUAGUUAAAUGUACUUGUGUAAUUAUUAGUUCAUGUUUUGCUUAUAUUGUACUAUGUCGCAGCAGUUUCAA